RNAcentral lists this ribosomal RNA (567 nucleotides) under Purpureocillium lilacinum. RNAcentral describes it as "eukaryotic LSU rRNA". It matches the Rfam family "Eukaryotic large subunit ribosomal RNA", at positions 56 to 647 of the family's 3401-position model. The record is from RNAcentral. Lineage: Eukaryota; Fungi; Ascomycota; Sordariomycetes; Hypocreales; Ophiocordycipitaceae.
GAAAAGAAACCAACAGGGAUUGCCCCAGUAACGGCGAGUGAAGCGGCAACAGCUCAAAUUUGAAAUCUGGCCCCCAGGGCCCGAGUUGUAAUUUGCAGAGGAUGCUUUUGGCGCGGUGCCUUCCGAGUUCCCUGGAACGGGACGCCAUAGAGGGUGAGAGCCCCGUCUGGUCGGACGCCUAGCCUGUGUAAAGCUCCUUCGACGAGUCGAGUAGUUUGGGAAUGCUGCUCUAAAUGGGAGGUAUAUGUCUUCUAAAGCUAAAUACCGGCCAGAGACCGAUAGCGCACAAGUAGAGUGAUCGAAAGAUGAAAAGCACUUUGAAAAGAGGGUUAAAUAGUACGUGAAAUUGUUGAAAGGGAAGCGCUUGUGACCAGACUUGGGCCCGGUGGAUCAUCCAGCGUUCUCGCUGGUGCACUCCGCCGGGUUCAGGCCAGCAUCAGUUCGCCGCGGGGGAAAAAGGCUUCGGGAACGUGGCUCCUACGGGAGUGUUAUAGCCCGUUGCAUAAUACCCUGGGGCGGACUGAGGUUCGCGCUCCGCAAGGAUGCUGGCGUAAUGGUCAUCAGCGC